RNAcentral lists this ribosomal RNA (240 nucleotides) under uncultured bacterium. RNAcentral describes it as "partial 16S ribosomal RNA". It matches the Rfam family "Bacterial small subunit ribosomal RNA", at positions 96 to 334 of the family's 1533-position model. The record is from RNAcentral.
UGGCGAACGGGUGAGUAACGCGUGGGGAACCUGCCUCAAAGAGGGGGACAACAGUUGGAAACGACUGCUAAUACCGCAUAAGCCCACGGGUCGGCAUCGACCUGAGGGAAAAGGAGCAAUCCGCUUUGAGAUGGCCUCGCGUCCGAUUAGCUAGUUGGUGAGGUAAUGGCCCACCAAGGCGACGAUCGGUAGCCGGACUGAGAGGUUGAACGGCCACAUUGGGACUGAGACACGGCCCAG